This 161-nucleotide ribosomal RNA is filed under the name Callicarpa arborea. Its description in RNAcentral is "5.8S ribosomal RNA". It matches the Rfam family "5.8S ribosomal RNA". From Rfam's summary of the family: 5.8S ribosomal RNA (5.8S rRNA) is a component of the large subunit of the eukaryotic ribosome. Lineage: Eukaryota; Viridiplantae; Streptophyta; Magnoliopsida; Lamiales; Lamiaceae. The record is from RNAcentral.
AUGUCAAAACGACUCUCGGCAACGGAUAUCUCGGCUCUUGCAUCGAUGAAGAACGCAGCGAAAUGCGAUACUUGGUGUGAAUUGCAGAAUCCCGUGAACCAUCGAGUCUUUGAACGCAAGUUGCGCCCGAAGCCAUUAGGCCGAGGGCACGUCUGCCUGGG